GGACGAUUAGCUCAAUGGUUAGAGCGCCUGCUCUACACGCAGGAGGUUGGGAGUUCAAGUCUUCCAUCGUCCACAA
RNAcentral lists this transfer RNA (76 nucleotides) under Parcubacteria bacterium DG_74_1. Its description in RNAcentral is "tRNA-Val". It matches the Rfam family "tRNA". Rfam says of the family: Transfer RNA (tRNA) molecules are approximately 80 nucleotides in length. Their secondary structure includes four short double-helical elements and three loops (D, anti-codon, and T loops). The record is from RNAcentral. Lineage: Bacteria; Candidatus Parcubacteria.